Molecule: small nuclear RNA, 146 nt
Organism: Mustela erminea (ermine)
Lineage: Eukaryota; Metazoa; Chordata; Mammalia; Carnivora; Mustelidae
Product: U4 spliceosomal RNA
Exons: 1
Source: RefSeq, a predicted model, not a curated record
AGCUUUGCACAGUGGCAGUAUCACAGCCAAUGAGGUUUAUCCGAGGCACGAUUAUUGCUAAUAGAAUAAUUCAUGAAAUGAUGUCUUAGCUUCAGUGGAAUUGACAAUUCUUUCCUAAUUUUCUUUCUUUUGAUUGAGAUAGAGAU